GUCAGCAGUGAGGCAACCGCAGAUGCAGCAGCAGCAGCCUGUUCAGCAACAGCCAGCACAAGCACAGCAGCAACAGGCUAAGCCAGGCCAGGCUCAGCCUCAGGCUCAGGUUCAGGCCCAAGCCCAGGCCCAAGCCCCAGCCCCGGCCCAGGCCCAGGCCCGUCCACCACAAGCAGGCCUCCAGCCAGCCGCAGCGGCAAAGACAAAUUUGGCUGAUGCUGCCAAGCCGGGUGUGAAGCCAGCCGCACAGCCUGCUAAAGCACCACAGGGUCCUACAACGGCGAUAGGUGCUAAAGCCGCCCCCAGGCCCGGAGGGGCAGGAGGGGCCGCAGCAGGGCAGGCUGCUGCUGACGGGGAGAGCGUCUUUUCCAAAAUCCUACCGGGAGGGGCAGCGGAGCAGGCUGGCAAACUGGGAGAAGCUGUGUCGGCUUUCGGCAAGAAAUUUACUUCAUUCUGGUGAGCAGCGAAGUAGAGGGGCUCCUGGAGUAGAAACGACGAAGAAAGAGUGAGGCUUUGUACUUGAAAAACCUAUGAACACCCCCCUCGUGUAAUUUAUUGACAAGAGAGAAUUGUGGACCUCUGAGUGCAGCAGCAUCCAGGAUUGGGAUCAUGGGUACCUGGCAAGCACUGGAGGUCCUAAGCGUGCACACAUGAUGGAGGAGAGACUGUUAUUGCUUCCUCAGGCAGGAGAAUGGGCUUUGAGAGAAGAACUUCUCGACUCGAUUCUCAACCUUAGCCAGCACCGAGUGUGAGAUGUGACAAGCUUUUCUUCAGUGGCCUGCUACUGGUUGGAGUGUAGCUUGC
This is a non-coding RNA of Lepisosteus oculatus (spotted gar), 804 nucleotides long. The record is from RefSeq and is a predicted model, not a curated record. NCBI's taxonomy places the organism in Eukaryota, Metazoa, Chordata, Actinopteri, Semionotiformes, Lepisosteidae.